RNAcentral lists this ribosomal RNA (2931 nucleotides) under Weissella confusa. Its description in RNAcentral is "partial 23S ribosomal RNA". It matches the Rfam family "Bacterial large subunit ribosomal RNA". The record is from RNAcentral. Lineage: Bacteria; Bacillati; Bacillota; Bacilli; Lactobacillales; Lactobacillaceae.
UGUAAGUAAGCUUUGAUCCGGAGAUUUCCGAAUGGGGGAACCCAACUUGUUAUGCAAGUUAUCACCUAAUGAAUAUAUAGUUAGGUUGAAGGUAGACGUUGUGAACUGAAACAUCUCAUUAGCAACAGGAAUAGAAAGAAAAAUCGAUACCGUCAGUAGCGGCGAGCGAAAUCGGUAGAGCCCAAACCAAAGUGCUUGCACUUUGGGGUUGUAGGACUGACAUUGUGGAGUUACAAAGUUAACAUUUAGCAGAAUCAGCUGGGAAGCUGAGCGAGACAGGGUGAUAGCCCCGUAUGCGAAAAGUGUUGACCUCCCGUCAGGAUCCUGAGUACGGCCGGACACGUGAAAUCCGGUCGGAAUCCGCGAGGACCAUCUCGCAAGGCUAAAUACUCCCUAGUGACCGAUAGUGAACCAGUACCGUGAGGGAAAGGUGAAAAGCACCCCGGAAGGGGAGUGAAAAAGUUCCAGGAUCCUGAGUACGGCCGGACACGUGAAAUCCGGUCGGAAUCCGCGAGGACCAUCUCGCAAGGCUAAAUACUCCCUAGUGACCGAUAGUGAACCAGUACCGUGAGGGAAAGGUGAAAAGCACCCCGGAAGGGGAGUGAAAAAGUUCCUGAAACCAUGUGCCUACAAGAAGUUAGAGCCCGUUAAUGGGUGAUAGCGUGCCUUUUGUAGAAUGAACCGGCGAGUUACGAUACCAUGCAAGGUUAAGGUGGAAAGACCGGAGCCGUAGCGAAAGCGAGUCUGAAAUGGGCGAAUUAGUAUGUUGUUGUAGACCCGAAACCAGGUGACCUACCCAUGUCCAGGGUGAAGGUGCGGUAAAACGCACUGGAGGCCCGAACCCGUGCAUGUUGAAAAAUGCUGGGAUGAGGUGUGGGUAGCGGUGAAAUUCCAAUCGAACUUGGAGAUAGCUGGUUCUCUCCGAAAUAGCUUUAGGGCUAGCCUCGGAAUGUAGCGUGUUGGAGGUAGAGCACUGUUUUGGUGCGGGGCCCAUCUCGGGUUACCAAAUUAAGAUAAACUCCGAAUGCCAAUCACGUAUGUCCGGGAGUCAGACAGUGAGUGAUAAGAUCCAUUGUCGAAAGGGGAACAGCCCAGAUCGUCAGUUAAGGUCCCUAAGUGUGUGUUAAGUGGAAAAGGAUGUGGAGUUGCAUAGACAACUAGGAUGUUGGCUUAGAAGCAGCCACCAUUUAAAGAGUGCGUAAUAGCUCACUAGUCGAGUGAUUCUGCGCCGAAAAUGUACCGGGGCUAAACACACCACCGAAACUACGGGUGCCACGUAAGUGGCGCGAUAGGAGAGCGUUCUAAGGGCGAUGAAGUCAGACCGUGAGGACUGGUGGAGCGCUUAGAAGUGAGAAUGCCGGUAUGAGUAGCGAAAGACAGGUGAGAAUCCUGUCCACCGUAUGACUAAGGUUUCCUGGGGAAGGCUCGUCCUCCCAGGGUUAGUCGGGACCUAAGGCGAGGCCGAGAGGCGUAGUCGAUGGAUAACAGGUUGAGAUUCCUGUACCAGGUGAACAUGUUUGAACGAUGGAGGGACGCAGAAGGCUAACGGAUCCCAGCUGCUGGAUAUGCUGGGUUAAAUAAUAAGUCUUAGAUCGAGUUAAAUGCUUUAUCUUUUAAGGACAAGUUAUGAUGAGGACCGAAAUAAAGUAGGGAAGUCCGUGAUGUCACGCUGCCGAGAAAAGCUUCUAGUUAGUGUUUACCUGCCCGUACCGCAAACCGACACAGGUAGUCGAGGAGAGCAUCCUAAGGUGAGCGAGUGAACUCUCGUUAAGGAACUCGGCAAAAUGACCCCGUAACUUCGGGAGAAGGGGUGCUCAGCGAAAGCUGAGCCGCAGUGAAUAGGCCCAGGCGACUGUUUAUCAAAAACACAGGUUUCUGCAAAAUCGUAAGAUGACGUAUAGGGGCUGACGCCUGCCCGGUGCUGGAAGGUUAAAAGGAGUGCUUAGCUUCGGCGAAGGUACGAAUUGAAGCCCCAGUAAACGGCGGCCGUAACUAUAACGGUCCUAAGGUAGCGAAAUUCCUUGUCGGGUAAGUUCCGACCCGCACGAAAGGCGUAACGAUCUGGGCACUGUCUCAACGAGAGACUCGGUGAAAUUUAAAUACCCGUGAAGAUGCGGGUUACCCGCGACAGGACGGAAAGACCCCAUGGAGCUUUACUGUAGCUUGAUAUUGAGUGUUUGUGCAGCUUGUACAGCAUAGGUAGGAGCCGUAGAUACCGGGACGCUAGUUUCGGUGGAGGCGUCAUUGGGAUACUACCCUCGUUGUAUGACCACUCUAACUCGCACCACUAAGCGUGGUGGAAGACAGUGUCUGGCAGGCAGUUUGACUGGGGCGGUCGCCUCCUAAAAGGUAACGGAGGCGCCCAAAGGUUCCCUCAGAAUGGUUGGAAAUCAUUCGCAGAGUGUAAAGGCACAAGGGAGCUUGACUGUGAGACUUACCAGUCGAGCAGGUACGAAAGUAGGGCUUAGUGAUCCGGUGGUUCCGCAUGGAAGGGCCAUCGCUCAACGGACAAAAGCUACCCUGGGGAUAACAGGCUUAUCUCCCCCAAGAGUCCACAUCGACGGGGAGGUUUGGCACCUCGAUGUCGGCUCAUCGCAUCCUGGGGCUGUAGUCGGUCCCAAGGGUUGGGCUGUUCGCCCAUUAAAGCGGUACGCGAGCUGGGUUCAGAACGUCGUGAGACAGUUCGGUCCCUAUCCGUCGCGGGCGUAGGAAAUUUGAGAGGAGCUGCCCUUAGUACGAGAGGACCGGGGUGGACGUACCUCUGGUGUAUCAGUUGUUCCGCCAGGAGCAUCGCUGAGUAGCUAUGUACGGAUGAGAUAAACGCUGAAAGCAUCUAAGUGUGAAACUCGCCUCGAGAUGAGAUUUCCCAUUCUUUAUGAAGUAAGACCCCUCAGAGAUGAUGAGGUAGAUAGGCUAGAAGUGGAAGUGCGG